GUCCCAGACUCCUACGGGAGGCAGCAGUGGGGAAUAUUGCACAAUGGGGGAAACCCUGAUGCAGCGACGCCGCGUGAGCGAUGAAGUAUUUCGGUAUGUAAAGCUCUAUCAGCAGGGAAGAAAAUGACGGUACCUGACUAAGAAGCCCCGGCUAACUACGUGCCAGCAGCCGCGGUAAUACGUAGGGGGCAAGCGUUAUCCGGAUUUACUGGGUGUAAAGGGAGCGUAGACGGCGGUGCAAGCCAGAUGUGAAAGCCCGGGGCUCAACCCCGGGACUGCAUUUGGAACUGUGCUGCUAGAGUGUCGGAGAGGCAGGCGGAAUUCCUAGUGUAGCGGUGAAAUGCGUAGAUAUUAGGAGGAACGCCAGUGGCGAAGGCGGCUUGCUGGACAGAGACUGACGUUGAGGCUCGAAAGCGUGGGGAGCAAACAGGAUUAGAUACCCGUGUAA
RNAcentral lists this ribosomal RNA (448 nucleotides) under uncultured bacterium. RNAcentral describes it as "bacterial SSU rRNA". It matches the Rfam family "Bacterial small subunit ribosomal RNA", at positions 328 to 793 of the family's 1533-position model. The record is from RNAcentral.